AAUGCAAAAUGUUUUCUUGGGCUCAUUUUUUUUCGGAUUCAGGAAGAUUAAAACUUUUCUUUCUAAAUCUUUUCGACCAGUGCGGAGUUUUAUAUUUUACCAAUGACACUCAAAUGACACUAUUUAAAGCUAUUUUGUUUUAGGCUAUCGAUAUCAAGUCUUUAUCAAUGUCGAUUUCAUGAACAAUAAAAGCAAUACAUCUUUGAUUUUCACCAUGUGAAAUACGGAUUGGAUAGAUAAUGAUAUAAUUCUUCCGGGUUCAAACAAUUUAUAUACAGAUUACCUAGUACUGAUCAAUAGUUUAAAUUGAUAUAUACUUGCCACACGAUAGAGUUACUUUCUAUUUAGUUAAUGAUAACCGUGAUUUAAGUUUUUGGAUUUACGCUAUUUGUGUGUUUUAAUUUUUAGAUGAACUUAGCAAUGAUGUAAAUUAGCAUAUUUUCCUCAAAGCUUGGAUAAAAGUUACGCGUCUGUUUCAACAAUUUGGACUUAUUAUAGUGUGGUUAACUUAAACGUUCUGUAUGUAAUUUGUCAAGUCGCUCAUGAAAGAGUUAUGCACAAAACCACAGCGUUUCAUAAUGGAUAAUGGACAUUUGUUUUAAACAAAAACUUGUGCAAUGUUAGCUGUUGGUAAGAAAA
This is a long non-coding RNA of Ruditapes philippinarum (Manila clam), 639 nucleotides long. RefSeq lists it as uncharacterized. NCBI's taxonomy places the organism in Eukaryota, Metazoa, Mollusca, Bivalvia, Venerida, Veneridae. The transcript is spliced from 3 exons. The record is from RefSeq and is a predicted model, not a curated record.